AACGAACGCUGGCGGCAUGCCUAACACAUGCAAGUCGAACGCUCGUAGCAAUACGGGAGUGGCAGACGGGUGCGUGACGCGUGGGAACCUGCCCAGAGGUUCGGAAUAACUGCGGGAAACUGCAGCUAAUACCGAAUGUUGCCUGUGGGCUAAAGGAGUAAUUCGCCUUUGGAGGGGCCCGCGUCCGAUUAGCUAGUUGGUGGGGUAAUGGCCUACCAAGGCGACGAUCGGUAGCUGGUCUGAGAGGAUGACCAGCCACACUGGAACUGAGACACGGUCCAGACUCCUACGGGAGGCAGCAGUAGGGAAUAUUGGUCAAUGGAUGCAAGUCUGAACCAGCCAUGCCGCGUGCAGGAAGAAGGCCUUCUGGGUUGUAAACUGCUUUUGCCAGGGGAUAAAAUUUCCAUGCGUGGAAAACUGAAAGUACCUGGUGAAUAAGCCACGGCUAACUACGUGCCAGCAGCCGCGGUAAU
Molecule: ribosomal RNA, 473 nt
Filed under: uncultured bacterium
Lineage: Bacteria
Description: bacterial SSU rRNA
Rfam family: Bacterial small subunit ribosomal RNA
Source: RNAcentral